This 425-nucleotide ribosomal RNA is filed under the name Leptodactylus petersii group sp. ABGD cluster 95. Its description in RNAcentral is "partial large subunit ribosomal RNA". It matches the Rfam family "Bacterial large subunit ribosomal RNA", at positions 1835 to 2457 of the family's 2925-position model. The record is from RNAcentral. Lineage: Eukaryota; Metazoa; Chordata; Amphibia; Anura; Leptodactylidae.
CUUGCAACCAAUAAGAGGUCCAGCCUGCCCAGUGACCCUGUUCAACGGCCGCGGUAUCCUAACCGUGCAAAGGUAGCGCAAUCAUUUGUCCUUUAAAUAAGGACUAGUAUGAACGGCACCACGAAAGCUAAACUGUCUCCUUCCCCUAAUCAGUGAAACUAAUCUUCCCGUGAAGAAGCGGGGAUAAUUUUGUAAGACGAGAAGACCCUGUGGAGCUUUAAACACACAACAAUUGUAACGGACCCACCCUCUCCCCUGGAAGAAACCACCCACUCGAACAUUUUGAUUGUAAGUUUUAGGUUGGGGUGACCACGGAGCAGAAAAUAACCUCCACGGUGAAUGGGAUUUCCCCCCUUAAACCCAGGGCCACAACCCUAAGGAUCAAUAAAUUGACACCCAUUGACCCAAUACUUUGACCAACGAAC